AACGAACGCUGGCGGCAUGCCUAACACAUGCAAGUCGAACGAGACCUUCGGGUCUAGUGGCGCACGGGUGCGUAACGCGUGGGAACCUGCCCUUAGGUUCGGAAUAACUCCCCGAAAGGGGUGCUAAUACCGGAUAAUGUCUUCGGACCAAAGAUUUAUCGCCUUUGGAUGGGCCCGCGUUGGAUUAGCUAGUUGGUAGGGUAAAAGCCUACCAAGGCGACGAUCCAUAGCUGGUCUGAGAGGAUGAUCAGCCACACUGGGACUGAGACACGGCCCAGACUCCUACGGGAGGCAGCAGUGGGGAAUAUUUGACAAUGGGCGAAAGCCUGAUCCAGCAAUGCCGCGUGAGUGAUGAAGGCCUUAGGGUUGUAAAGCUCUUUUACCCGGGAUGAUAAUGACAGUACCGGGAGAAUAAGCUCCGGCUAACUCCGUA
This 433-nucleotide ribosomal RNA is filed under the name uncultured bacterium. Its description in RNAcentral is "partial 16S ribosomal RNA". It matches the Rfam family "Bacterial small subunit ribosomal RNA", at positions 29 to 507 of the family's 1533-position model. The record is from RNAcentral.